RNAcentral lists this ribosomal RNA (690 nucleotides) under uncultured Acidobacteriota bacterium. RNAcentral describes it as "bacterial SSU rRNA". It matches the Rfam family "Bacterial small subunit ribosomal RNA", at positions 15 to 719 of the family's 1533-position model. The record is from RNAcentral. Lineage: Bacteria; Pseudomonadati; Acidobacteriota.
GAUCCUGGCUCAGAAUCAACGCUGGCGGCGUGCCUCAGACAUGCAAGUCGAACGAUUAAACUUCUCUUCGGAGAAGAUAUAAAGUGGCGCACGGGUGAGUAACACGUAGGUAAUGUACCUUUGGGUGGGGAAUAACUUAGGGAAACUUAAGCUAAUACCGCAUAAUGCAGCGGCUCCUUCGGGAGACAGUUGUUAAAGAUUUAUCGCCUAAAGAGCAGCCUGCGGCAGAUUAGCUAGUUGGUAAGGUAACGGCUUACCAAGGCUACGAUCUGUAUCCGACCUGAGAGGGUGGUCGGACACACUGACACUGAAUAACGGGUCAGACUCCUACGGGAGGCAGCAGUCGGGAAUUUUGGGCAAUGGGCGAAAGCCUGACCCAGCAACGCCGCGUGAAGGAUGAAGUCUUUCGGGAUGUAAACUUCGUAAGAAUAGGAAGAAUAAAUGACGGUACUAUUUGUAAGGUCCGGCUAACUACGUGCCAGCAGCCGCGGUAAUACGUAGGGACCAAGCGUUGUUCGGAUUUACUGGGCGUAAAGGGCGCGUAGGCGGCGUGUCAAGUCAAUUGUGAAAUCUCCGGGCUUAACUCGGAACGGUCAAUUGAUACUGAUGUGCUAGAGUACAGAAGGGGCAAUCGGAAUUCUUGGUGUAGCGGUGAAAUGCGUAGAUAUCAAGAGGAACACCUGAGGUGAA